This 3943-nucleotide ribosomal RNA is filed under the name Athalia rosae (coleseed sawfly). RNAcentral's name for it is "misc RNA ENSAEAG00005012289.1". It matches the Rfam family "Eukaryotic large subunit ribosomal RNA". Lineage: Eukaryota; Metazoa; Arthropoda; Insecta; Hymenoptera; Athaliidae. The record is from RNAcentral.
CGACCUCAGAGCAGGCGAGACUACCUGCUGAAUUCAAGCAUAUUAAUAAGCAGAGGAAAAGAUACUAACCAGGAUUUCCUUAGUAGCGGCGAGCGAACAGGAAAUAGCCCAGUACUGAAUCCCGCGGUUCUGCCGCUGAGAAAUGUAGUGUUUGGAAGGAUUCACUUAUCCCGGGGCGUCGAUCCGAGUCCAAGUCUAUCUUGAAUGGGGCCACUUACCCGUAGAGGGUGCCAGGCCCGUAGUAACCGGGACGCGCCACGGGAGAAUCUCUCCUCAGAGUCGGGUUGCUUGAGAGUGCAGCUCUCAGUUGGUGGUAGAUUCCAUCUAAGGCUAAAUAUGACCACGAGACCGAUAGCGAACAAGUACCGUGAGGGAAAAUUGAAAAGAACUUUGAAGAGAGAAUUCAAGAGUACGUAAAACCGGUCAGGGGUAAACCUGAGAAACCCGAAAGAUCGAACGGGGAGAUUCAUCGUCAGCGAAACCGGGUUCGCCGUGGCUCGUGAUGCUGGGACCUUGCGUCCACGGCACGCGUCCGCGGUGUUCAUGUCCGGCUCAUUCGAAUUUUAUAUUGUUACCGGUCGGCGACGCUAUUGCUUUGGGUACUUUCAGGACCCGUCUUGAAACACGGACCAUGGAGUCUAACAUGUGCGCGAGUCAUUGGGAGACUCAAACCUGAAGGCGCAAUGAAAGUAAAGGUCAGCCUAGCGCCGACCGAGGAAGGAUGGGUCGCGUCACGAUACGGCCCCGCACUUCCGGGGCGUCUCGUUCUCAUUGCGAGAAGAGGCGCACCCAGAGCCGAAAGAUGGUCAACUAUGCCUGGUCAGGACGAAGUCAGGGGAAACCCUGAUGGAGGUCCGUAGCGAUUCUGAGGUGCAAAUCGAUCGUCGGAGCUGGGUAUAGGGGCGAAAGACUAAUCGAACCAUCUAGUAGCUGGUUCCCUCCAAAGUUUCCCUCAGGAUAGCUGGCACUCGCGUACAAAAUGUACACGAGUCUUAUCCUGUAAAGCGAAUGAUUAGAGGCCUAAGGGCCGAAACGACCUCAACCUAUUCUCAAACUUUAAAUGGGUAAGACCUCUGGCUUGCUUGAACUAUGAAGCCACGAAAUUCCGGACCAGAGUGCCAAGUGGGCCACUUUUGGUAAGCAGAACUGGCGCUGUGGGAUGAACCAAACGCCGAGUUAAGGAGCCAAAGUCGACGCUUAUGGGAUACUAUGAAAGGCGUUGGUUGCUUAAGACAGCAGGACGGUGGCCAUGGAAGUCGGAAUCCGCUAGGGAGUGUGUAACAACUCACCUGCCGAAGCAACUAGCCCUGAAAAUGGAUGGCGCUGAAGCGUCGUGCCUAUACUCGGCCGUCAGCGGCAAGAGAGGCGGCUUCGGCCGUCAUGAAGCCCUGACGAAUAGGAGGGUCGCGGCGGUGUGCGCAGAAGGGUCUGGGCGUGAGCUUUCCUGGAGCCACCGUCGGUGCAGAUCUUGGUGGUAGUAGCAAAUACUCCAGCGAGGCCCUAGAGGACUGACGUGGAGAAGGGUUUCGUGUGAACAGCCGUUGCACACGAGUCAGUCGAUCCUAAGCCCUAGGAGAAAUCCAAUGUUAAUGACGGUGUAUUUUUAUGCCAUUGAACGCAUCACGCACGCUGUAAGCUCUCCGUCGAUUGGGGGGUGGACGGUUUUUGUUCUACCUUGCGGGCCUUUGCGAAAGCGUUGUCGCCCGGAGGAAAAAACGGAUCCGUUCGCGUGCGUGCGCGCGGCUCGAAUCGAAACACACCCGUUGGGCGAAAGGGAAUCCGGUUCCUAUUCCGGAACCCGGCAGCGGAACCGUUUACAAGUCGGGCCCUUGCAGGGAGUAACUAUGACUCUCUUGAGGCGAGGUUAAACAUAAAACUGCCCUCUAGUCCAAGGGACGCAAGGCCCCGAAAGGUGUUACUGGAGAUUGAGAGAGAGGUGUCCAAGCUACGACAAUACGCUGGAUUGUAGCCUGAUAAGGAAAGGGAUCGAGGAAAAAGAAGGCCGUGCUGCUGGAAAAGUCGGUAUACGGGCGGACCAGGAAAAACGCGUUUUUGGCCUUCUAGAGUGGUCCAAAUCGAAGUGACUGCUGAGGGACUUAUAAACGCUUAUGACCAAGGGCUACUCAGAGCAUACCAGAAAAACCUGGAAAUCGCAAGAAAAGGGACUGAAAGGGGCCUUGAAAGAAAAUGAGACAACAUGAAGACCUAUAGAUCAUUGCAAAAGAGGCGUGAAGGCAGAAACAUAGCACAUAUAUAUCAUGCGAAUCCUGAAAUAUAACAAAAAAGACCAACUGAAAACUGUAGAAUUGAGAAAUUAUUACAUAGGACUGUAUGUAAUGUAGUAGAAUAUACGGACAAAAGAGCACGAAUGAUAGAGAAUGAACAGUCUAAAAAUACAAAAAAAAAGCACUCACGCUGAGAUGCUAAUCCCUCUGCUGGUGGAGCAGACUGACAGGACAAACCUAGAAAAAAUGAGCAAAAUAUUAAUGUUUUUGUCAAGAUAGCGUAUGUUAACAGUAGAGCACAAAAUAGGAAAUGAAACCGUUUUGGAGGUCAAUCCAAUAACGUUAGUUCUAAUAUAAGUGGAAUUAAUUAGUGGAAUUAGUUACAUAUCUACUCGAGUAUCUUUGUACUUUAUUACCUCUAAGCUAUUCUUUGUUUUCCUUUUUUUUUUCCCCUUCACUCUAGAACUGUAAUGCUUUGUAUCUUUCUUUAAUUUCUACAAUGUAUUGUCACAAUUUGAUUCUACCGUAUCCAUGCGGUUCAUGAAAAAUAAAUGAUAUUUCUAGCCAAAUGCCUCGUCAUCUAAUUUGUGACGCGCAUGAAUGGAUUAACGAGAUUCCCACUGUGCCUAUCCACUAUCUAGCAAAACCACUGCCAAGGGAACGGAUUGGAAAAAUUAGCGGGGAAAGAAGACCCUGUUGAGCUUGACUCUAGUCUGGCACUGUAAGGAGACAUGAGAGGUGUAGCAUAAGUGGGAGAUGGUAACAUCGUCGGUGAAAUACCACUACUUUCAUCGUUUCUUUACUCACUCGGUUGGGUGGAGCGCGUGCGUCGAGGACAUUCGUCCCAGCUGUCACGGUGUUCUAGAGCCAAGCGCCAAAGAGUGUGUGGGGCGGUACAUCUGUCAAAAAAUAACGCAGGUGUCCUAAGGCCAGCUCAGCGAGGACAGAAACCUCGCGUGGAGCAAAAGAGCAAAAGCUGGCUUGAUCUCGAUGUUCAGUACGCAUAGAGACUGCGAAAGCACGGCCUAUCGAUCGUUUUGGCUUGAAGAGUUUUUAACAAGAGGUGUCAAAAAAGUCACCACAGGGAUAACUGGCUUGUGGGAACCAAGCGUUCAUAGUGACGUUGCUUUUUGAUCCUUUGAUGUCGGCUCUUCCUAUCAUUGCAAAGCGAAAUUUGCCAAGCGUUGGAUUGUUCACCCACCAAUAGGGAACGUAAGAUGGGUUUAGACCGUCGUGGGAAGGGUUAGUUUCACCCUACCGAUGACUUGUCGUUGCAAUUAAAUCCUGUUCAGUUCGAGAGGAACCGUAGGUUCGGACAUUUGGUUCACGCACUAGGUCGAGCGGCCAGUGGUGCGGAGCUACCAUCCGUGGGAUUAUGCCUGAACGCCUCUAAAGCCGUAUCCUCUCUAGUCAAACUAGGCAACGAUGUUUCUAGGAGUCUCGUCGGUCGGAAAGCUUAAAACAAUGUAACUUUACUAGGUGACCGGUCCACGGACCAUAUAUCGCACGAGCCCUGUUUGCCGCGCGAAGCCGUCGGCCGAUGUCGGGAUUUCCCCGCUCGUUGGCCUGGCUUCAAUCGGUCGAUCAUGGGUCAUCCAGUUCGAUGUCAAGACUCGGAAUCGUCUGUAGACGACUUAGGUACCUGGCGGGGUGUUGUACUCGGUAGAGCAGACCACGCUGUGAUCUGUUGAGAUUCAGCCCUUGGCUCGGGGAUUCAU